GAACCGCUUGCGGUAACACAAAUUCGGAUAUAACGAGGUAAAGCAGCCCUGCUCCCCGGAGCACUGCUUUACUGCAUUAUAUCCGAAUUCACGUUGUAUCAGACUGCAUUAUAUCGGGGUAGAGGUAUAUGCAAAAAAAAAUAAAAAGUUUGAGAAUCACUAUUCUAUAGAUCAGAAGGUUGUACAUUCAAACCCUGCUGAGGAUGAUUCGUGUGGAAGUGAAAACAUAUACAACGGCAAAGUUAGCAUAAGAACCUUGGAGUAAUAGUUGGAACUAUUUCAUAUUGCAAAACAUUGCAUCUAGAAGUGAAUUCGAAUGCUGUGUUAAUAUUUAUUUUAUUGUUUGUAUUUUGGUUAAUAGGAGCUGCUCUGUUAAGGGGGUAUGGCAGACUGAGAGAAGCUUGAAGGAGAUUUUGCCUGUGUUUCCAGAGAUUGGAAGAGGCUGUUUGCAUAAGCUACAGAAAGGUGUGUAGAUGCCUAAAGACCAAAGAGUCGCUUUAGAGUCUUUCAAUGCAUGGAGGGACUCGUCAGUCUUACCUGCAAAUAAUUUUGACCUUCAAAGGGAAGAUCCUCUCUGGUGGAUUGCAGCUCCUUUGGGAAUCCAGACAGGUGGAGCCAAGAGGCACAUUGCAUUACUAUGGCAGUUGCAAUGGAUCUUGCCACUGUGUUUGCUGAGUCUAAGGAUGCCUGAAGAUCUGUUCUUGCCAGGAGAUGGCCUUCAGAAAUGACUGACCUAAAUUGCUCCUUUUUGUCUUCAGGGAUAAUGUCAAUAAAUUCAAACAGUUUUGAGUAA
This is a long non-coding RNA of Caretta caretta (loggerhead turtle), 793 nucleotides long. RefSeq lists it as uncharacterized. NCBI's taxonomy places the organism in Eukaryota, Metazoa, Chordata, Testudines, Cheloniidae. The record is from RefSeq and is a predicted model, not a curated record.